UUAUAUUAAUGUAGUUCUCAUUCAGACCUAACAGAAAUUGGAUGACUCUAUCAUUGUCUUGUAUUUUAGCAACCUCUGACAGCACACCACAGACACAUUUUCCACACUUACAGUAGGGUUUGGGCACACAUGAGUCAAAUCUGUCCCAAAGUGACUUAAGUUUCCCAUAGUAAACUAUUAUCGUUUUUUGUUUUUGACUGAGAAGUGUAAUGUCUGCCUUCAUCUGAAAAAGUUGAGGCGUAUUUGCUUAUUUGAAUCUCUGCUUCAAGUUCUUCUAAAUUAGUGAUGCGAUAUCACUAAACAUUAAAGUUGUAUCAAUAUCCGCAGAAACAACAUUAUAUAUCCAACUUAGGACCAGACCAUUGCUUUGUUCCCAAUUCUUGGAUUCCAAUAGUUUCCUUAAGAGGCCUGGCCAAAUCUCCAUUGACAUACCCAAGCUUUCCUCUAGCCACCAAUGCUACUCGCAUUGCCGUGUACCGUGUGUAAUAGUUUUCUUCCCCAACUAACACCUUUGAUACAAGAUGAGCACUAGGACCCUCAGUAGUAUAGGAGAUUCCAAAGGAAUUAGUGCCUUGCUGUGAGCAAUUUUCAGCACUAGUUUCUUUCUCGUCCAACUAUUUUCCCUCAGCCUCAUUUCUCUUAUCAUUGUCUACUGGUUGCUCUUGUUCAAAAGAACGCCAUUCCACAUUGUCAACUGCCAUAUCCUUGUUCUUUUCCAUUUGAUCAAUGAAGUUUUG
Molecule: long non-coding RNA, 737 nt
Filed under: Zostera marina
Lineage: Eukaryota; Viridiplantae; Streptophyta; Magnoliopsida; Alismatales; Zosteraceae
Description: long non-coding RNA (ZMAR_LNC005290)
Source: RNAcentral